Molecule: ribosomal RNA, 450 nt
Filed under: uncultured Glomus
Lineage: Eukaryota; Fungi; Glomeromycota; Glomeromycetes; Glomerales; Glomeraceae
Description: bacterial SSU rRNA
Rfam family: Eukaryotic small subunit ribosomal RNA
Source: RNAcentral
AGCAGCCGCGGUAAUUCCAGCUCCAAUAGCGUAUAUUAAAGUUGUUGCAGUUAAAAAGCUCGUAGUUGAAUUUCGGGAUCAAUUUGCUGGUCGAGACCUCUGGUACGUACUGGUAUUAUUGAUUUCUUUCAUUCUGAUAGAUCAUUGAUGUCAUUAAUUUGAUGACUUUGAGGAAUCGGAACUUUUACUUUGAAAAAAUUAGAGUGUUUAAAGCAGGCUUAUUAGGCUUGAAUACAUUAGCAUGGAAUAAUGAAAUAGGACGAUUGAUCCUAUUUUUGUUGGUUUCUAGGAUUGACGUAAUGAUUAAUAGGGAUAGUUGGGGGCAUUAGUAUUCAAUUGUCAGAGGUGAAAUUCUUGGAUUUAUUGAAGACUAACUACUGCGAAAGCAUUUGCCAAGGAUGUUUUCGUUAAUCAAGAACGAAAGUUAGGGGAUCGAAGACGAUCAGAUAC